Molecule: ribosomal RNA, 458 nt
Filed under: uncultured bacterium
Lineage: Bacteria
Description: partial 16S ribosomal RNA
Rfam family: Bacterial small subunit ribosomal RNA
Source: RNAcentral
CCUACGCGUGGCAGCAGUGAGGAAUAUUGGUCAAUGAGCGAGAGCCUGAACCAGCCAAGUCGCGUGAGGGAGUACUGCCCUAUGGGUUGUAAACAUCUUUUGUCGGGGAGCAAAAGCCGGACGUGUCCGGCUGUGAGAGUACCCGAAGAAAAAGCAUCGGCUAACUCCGUGCCAGCAGCCGCGGGAAUAGGGAGGAUGAGAGCGUUAUCCGGAUUUAUUUGGUUUAAAGGGUGCGCAGGCGGAGUUUUAAGUCAGCGGUCAAAUCGUGGUGCUCAAACACAUCCAGCCGUUGAAACUGGGGAUCUAGAGUGUGCGAGAGGUAUGCGGAAUGCGUGGUGGAGCGGUGAAAUGCAUAGAUAUCACGCAGAACCCCGAUUGCGAAGGCAGCAUACCGGUGCACAACUGACGCUCAGGCACGAAAGCGUGGGUAUCGAACAGGAUUAGAUACCCGAGUAGUC